RNAcentral lists this ribosomal RNA (253 nucleotides) under uncultured bacterium. Its description in RNAcentral is "partial 16S ribosomal RNA". It matches the Rfam family "Bacterial small subunit ribosomal RNA", at positions 524 to 776 of the family's 1533-position model. The record is from RNAcentral.
UACGUAGGGCGUAAGCGUUAUCCGGAAUUAUUGGGCGUAAAGAGCUCGUAGGCGGUUUGUCGCGUCUGCCGUGAAAGUCCGGGGCUCAACUCCGGAUCUGCGGUGGGUACGGGCAGACUAGAGUGAUGUAGGGGAGACUGGAAUUCCUGGUGUAGCGGUGAAAUGCGCAGAUAUCAGGAGGAACACCGAUGGCGAAGGCAGGUCUCUGGGCAUUAACUGACGCUGAGGAGCGAAAGCAUGGGGAGCGAACAGG